RNAcentral lists this ribosomal RNA (1188 nucleotides) under Arthrobacter sp. RNAcentral's name for it is "bacterial SSU rRNA". It matches the Rfam family "Bacterial small subunit ribosomal RNA", at positions 125 to 1324 of the family's 1533-position model. The record is from RNAcentral. Lineage: Bacteria; Bacillati; Actinomycetota; Actinomycetes; Micrococcales; Micrococcaceae.
CCUGCCCUUAACUCUGGGAUCAGCCUGGGAAACUGGGUCUAAUACCGGAUAUGACUCCUCAUCGCAUGGUGGGGGGUGGAAAGCUUUUUGUGGUUUUGGAUGGACUCGCGGCCUAUCAGCUUGUUGGUGAGGUAAUGGCUCACCAAGGCGACGACGGGUAGCCGGCCUGAGAGGGUGACCGGCCACACUGGGACUGAGACACGGCCCAGACUCCUACGGGAGGCAGCAGUGGGGAAUAUUGCACAAUGGGCGAAAGCCUGAUGCAGCGACGCCGCGUGAGGGAUGACGGCCUUCGGGUUGUAAACCUCUUUCAGUAGGGAAGAAGCGAAAGUGACGGUACCUGCAGAAGAAGCGCCGGCUAACUACGUGCCAGCAGCCGCGGUAAUACGUAGGGCGCAAGCGUUAUCCGGAAUUAUUGGGCGUAAAGAGCUCGUAGGCGGUUUGUCGCGUCUGCUGUGAAAGACCGGGGCUCAACUCCGGUUCUGCAGUGGGUACGGGCAGACUAGAGUGAUGUAGGGGAGACUGGAAUUCCUGGUGUAGCGGUGAAAUGCGCAGAUAUCAGGAGGAACACCGAUGGCGAAGGCAGGUCUCUGGGCAUUAACUGACGCUGAGGAGCGAAAGCAUGGGGAGCGAACAGGAUUAGAUACCCUGGUAGUCCAUGCCGUAAACGUUGGGCACUAGGUGUGGGGGACAUUCCACGUUUUCCGCGCCGUAGCUAACGCAUUAAGUGCCCCGCCUGGGGAGUACGGCCGCAAGGCUAAAACUCAAAGGAAUUGACGGGGGCCCGCACAAGCGGCGGAGCAUGCGGAUUAAUUCGAUGCAACGCGAAGAACCUUACCAAGGCUUGACAUGGACCGGACCGCCGCAGAAAUGUGGUUUCCCCUUUGGGGCUGGUUCACAGGUGGUGCAUGGUUGUCGUCAGCUCGUGUCGUGAGAUGUUGGGUUAAGUCCCGCAACGAGCGCAACCCUCGUUCUAUGUUGCCAGCACGUGAUGGUGGGGACUCAUAGGAGACUGCCGGGGUCAACUCGGAGGAAGGUGGGGACGACGUCAAAUCAUCAUGCCCCUUAUGUCUUGGGCUUCACGCAUGCUACAAUGGCCGGUACAAAGGGUUGCGAUACUGUGAGGUGGAGCUAAUCCCAAAAAGCCGGUCUCAGUUCGGAUUGGGGUCUGCAACUCGACCCCAUGAA